GGUCUCAACAUAUAACAUAUCAGUUUAUUUUGAAUGUUCUUGAAAAAUUGUGUUUGAUUGUCUAAUAACCUCCACUCGAGAAAUCAAAACAUAAAAAAUUGAGAUAUGAAUAAUAUAACUCUUGAUGUGACUUUUCAUUUUCAAAUUUGGGAUCGAAAGCUGAUCUGAUUCGUGCAUGAAGCCACAUCAACACCAACACCUGAACCAUCAACCUUCCCUUUACCCACACCAGCAUGCUUUAAACUUCUGUUACAGUCCUCCAUUAACAGUUCCAU
This 275-nucleotide long non-coding RNA is filed under the name Trifolium pratense (red clover). Its description in RNAcentral is "long non-coding RNA (TPRA_LNC002228)". The record is from RNAcentral. Lineage: Eukaryota; Viridiplantae; Streptophyta; Magnoliopsida; Fabales; Fabaceae.